RNAcentral lists this unclassified non-coding RNA (326 nucleotides) under soil metagenome. RNAcentral's name for it is "partial contains 5.8S ribosomal RNA, internal transcribed spacer 2, and large subunit ribosomal RNA". The stretch from base 1 to 120 matches the Rfam family "5.8S ribosomal RNA", at positions 35 to 154 of the family's 154-position model. The record is from RNAcentral.
GAUGAAGAACGCAGCGAAAUGCGAUAAGUAAUGUGAAUUGCAGAAUUCAGUGAAUCAUCGAAUCUUUGAACGCACAUUGCGCCCCUUGGUAUUCCGAGGGGCAUGCCUGUUCGAGCGUCAUAUUAACCACUCCCGCUUGCGGGGUCUUGGGCUUCGCCUCCGGGCGGGCCUUAAAAUCAGUGGCGGUGCCGUCGGGCUCUACGCGUAGUAAAUUUUCUCGCGAUAGGGUCCCGGUGGAUGCUUGCCAACAACCCCCAACUUCUUAAGGUUGACCUCGGAUCAGGUAGGGAUACCCGCUGAACUUAAGCAUAUCAAUAAGCGGAGCA